UCUCUGGUGGUCCAGCGGUUAAGACUCUGUGCUUCCAACUGCAGGGAGCACAGGUUCAAUUCCUGGUCAGGGAA
Molecule: non-coding RNA, 74 nt
Organism: Bos taurus (domestic cattle)
Lineage: Eukaryota; Metazoa; Chordata; Mammalia; Artiodactyla; Bovidae
Source: Rfam